Molecule: ribosomal RNA, 206 nt
Filed under: uncultured Comamonadaceae bacterium
Lineage: Bacteria; Pseudomonadati; Pseudomonadota; Betaproteobacteria; Burkholderiales; Comamonadaceae
Description: partial 16S ribosomal RNA
Rfam family: Bacterial small subunit ribosomal RNA
Source: RNAcentral
UGCGCAGGCGGUUUUGUAAGACAGUGGUGAAAUCCCCGGGCUCAACCUGGGAACUGCCAUUGUGACUGCAAGGCUGGAGUGCGGCAGAGGGGAUGGAAUUCCGCGUGUAGCAGUGAAAUGCGUAGAUAUGCGGAGGAACACCGAUGGCGAAGGCAAUCCCCUGGGCCUGCACUGACGCUCAUGCACGAAAGCGUGGGGAGCAAACA